This is a non-coding RNA of Paramuricea clavata, 729 nucleotides long. The record is from the annotation of a GenBank genome assembly. Lineage: Eukaryota; Metazoa; Cnidaria; Anthozoa; Malacalcyonacea; Plexauridae.
CUGGUGUCUGAGCCAGAGUGUCAUCGAAUUGCGAUGUAAUGUAAACAGAAAUUAUAGCAAGUUGAUGUCAGUCAGGUUAGAUGGUCCAAGCCAAAAUUAUAUCGCAUUUGAGAUUUCAAACUGAGUUAAAAAUAGUGGAAGAAAAGCCGUAAUUAUACUUAUUGUCACAAUCCAUUUAAUAAAAUGCAACAUUUUUUUGUUUUAAUGAAAAAAUCAGUUAUUUUCAUGAGAACGAUUUGUUAUUGCAUCUCAAUUUUUUUAAUCUCCAAUCGCAAUAACGUAAAGUAUUAUUACCCGCGAACCAAUGAGUCAAAUUUAAGAAACCACCCACUGUUAGAAAGCUGAGUGGCUACGCUUUAAAAUGAAUGUAAACUUUAACGUUUUCGUCUAUUAUUUGUUUAGCAAUUUACAUUUCAAUCGAGGAUUGCGCUUUUUUUGAUACACCCUGUAUAAUUAACAUGGGUUUUUGUUUGGUGGCCCAACCGUGGACAUACAAAAAAAAUUGGCGGCCCAUCGAAAUUGCCCAAAGAUUUUCCAUGGCCCAUCCCAAAUCACUCCGGUUACUUUAUGACCGGUCCCGUAUCCGUCGCUUUCUCGUCCUCACUUGUUCUCUGCGCUCAUUUUCACCAUAUCUCCAUUUUCACCAUAUCUCCAGUCUACAGGUACUUUUUCGUAUUUUCUGUUUCACUGCCUUCAAUUCCUUCCUUAUAUACCGUCGUACAAAUCUAG